RNAcentral lists this ribosomal RNA (594 nucleotides) under Bacillus subtilis. RNAcentral's name for it is "bacterial SSU rRNA". It matches the Rfam family "Bacterial small subunit ribosomal RNA", at positions 574 to 1165 of the family's 1533-position model. Lineage: Bacteria; Bacillati; Bacillota; Bacilli; Caryophanales; Bacillaceae. The record is from RNAcentral.
GGCGGUUUUUUAAGUUCUGAAUGUGAAAGCCCCCGGCUUCAACCGGGGAGGGUCAUUGGAAACUGGGGAACUUGAGUGCAGAAGAGGAGAGUGGAAUUCCACGUGUAGCGGUGAAAUGCGUAGAGAUGUGGAGGAACACCAGUGGCGAAGGCGACUCUCUGGUCUGUAACUGACGCUGAGGAGCGAAAGCGUGGGGAGCGAACAGGAUUAGAUACCCUGGUAGUCCACGCCGUAAACGAUGAGUGCUAAGUGUUAGGGGGUUUCCGCCCCUUAGUGCUGCAGCUAACGCAUUAAGCACUCCGCCUGGGGAGUACGGUCGCAAGACUGAAACUCAAAGGAAUUGACGGGGGCCCGCACAAGCGGUGGAGCAUGUGGUUUAAUUCGAAGCAACGCGAAGAACCUUACCAGGUCUUGACAUCCUCUGACAAUCCUAGAGAUAGGACGUCCCCUUCGGGGGCAGAGUGACAGGUGGUGCAUGGUUGUCGUCAGCUCGUGUCGUGAGAUGUUGGGUUAAGUCCCGCAACGAGCGCAACCCUUGAUCUUAGUUGCCAGCAUUCAGUUGGGCACUCUAAGGUGACUGCCGGUGACAAACCG